AACGGGAGUAGAAGUGCGCGUCGUGUGUAGCAUAAAUGAAAAAAAGAAACAGUUAGUGGAAGGAAUUGUAGAAUAAUUGAGUUUGUGAAAAAAAGAAAUAGAAACCUGAAAAAUAAUUAAUUAUACACUUACCUGGAAACCCUGAAAAAGAAAAAAAAACUGAAAAAAAGGUCCGCACAGUGGGCCUUUUUUUCAUGUCUUCUCCAAAAUAGGCAUCAACCACAACUUUCUAGGCAGAAAGUGUAGAGAGCCACCAACAAACUCAAGCGAUUGGCUUACAGCAAGACCGAGCACUCUAACCGCAACUUUUACAACCGAUUGCGAAGGACAAUCGAACCUGGACAGACGUGUCCCAGAGGACGAAACAGGAAGACAUAUUCACACAAGGAUAUGGAUAAACAACGUAUCACACCAAAUUGAGGACCACACCACAUUGCUCAAAUACAUAACGAUUGCGCAAGUAUACAAAACCAUAAACUGUGACGUCACAAAUAGUAAAGUAUAUCAAAACACAUAGAAAAGUAUAUGUUUAGAAUUAAAUUAAAAGUAAAAGAAGUAUUUACACCUAGAAUUUAUAUAGUACGCCACUACAAACAUAAUACACGUGUAAGAAAUUAAAA
Long non-coding RNA from Toxorhynchites rutilus septentrionalis, 620 nucleotides. RefSeq lists it as uncharacterized. The transcript is spliced from 2 exons. NCBI's taxonomy places the organism in Eukaryota, Metazoa, Arthropoda, Insecta, Diptera, Culicidae. The record is from RefSeq and is a predicted model, not a curated record.